GGGGGGCGGGGCGUGACUCACUCGGGCGCGCCGCUGGCCCUGCUCCGCCGAGUGCACGUGAGCGCGCUGCGCGCUGGUUUCUAAGUUUAGCUGCGCCUGCCCAGGAACUUUCGUGAAGGUCCCUUCACUGCUUUCACCAGAGUGUGAGCUCCUCUGUGCCAUCACAGUGGACGAUACUUUUGUACACAUGGUGAGGAGGGUGAAGCCCGUCGGCCACGCAGCCGGGACGCCCGGGUUCAAAUCUCCUGUGACUUGAGNNNNNNNNNCCCAUCCCACGAGCACGCAGACUUGUGGCUGCCCCAGACUUCCUGGUCGGACAAGAUCACUCAACACAGGUGGCAGGGUAACGCCCUCUUGGCUACUUAGCUAAUCUGCUCCAAACAGCUUACAAGGUGGAAACCCGGCCCCCGGGAUGGGAUGCCCGCAGAAAGGAACGACCCCCAGAAAGGAGUCCAGCCUUCCCCUAGGGGAGCCCCGUAGACACCCACUCUGCAGAGUCAUCCAACAGACCCCCAGCACGUUCCACGCUGACCUCUGCCAGACGCCGUAGCCAGGCCAGCUGACAGCGGCCUCCCUGGGGCUGGCCCCACGCGUGCUUUGCAGAUGGAAUUGAGAGCCACAAAAGCCAGCAGCUCCCCAGAUGGUGGCCACUCCAUCUGGGUCCUGGAAUAAGGACAACUCAGGGGAGAGUCCAAAGCCAAGUCUAGGUGACCACUGGAGUCAACUAGGAAGAAACAGCUGUGGCGUCAAGCCCCUGAGAGGCAGGGGCUGUUUGUUAUUGCAGCAUAACCUCUUCCCUCGGGCUGAUACCCAGGCCUUGUUCCACACCUCCCGAAUCUCAGCCACCAUGGGAGCCUGAGCGGAGGCAUUCUUCCAAGUGUCACUCACACACUUGUGACUUUGGGGAUCAGCCGGGUUUGGGGAGCCCCACUUUGCUCCACACUGAUUUUGGGGGGUGGCCCUGAACUGUAGGGUUGAAUGGUGGCCUCCCCCAAAAUGGACCCACAUCCCAACCCCUGGGACCUGUGAAUGUUACAUUACUUCAAAGAAGCAUCUUUGUAGGUAUAAUUAAGAAUCUUAAAAAGAAGAGAGCACCCCGAUUAUCCAGUAGGUACCAUGACAAGUGUCCUUAUGUAGAGCAGGCAGAGGGGGAUUUGAAACAAAGGGAACAGAGGAUCCAGAGGCAGAGACCGGAGUGAUGCAGCCACAGGCCGAGGAACACCGACCACAGACAGAAGCUCGAGGAGGCAAAGAAUGCAUCCUUGCCUAGAACCUCAGUGGAGAGUCUGGCCCUGCUGACACCUGGAUUUGGGGCUGCUGGCUUCCAGAACUGUGAGAGAAUACAUUUCUGUUGCUUUAGGCCACCGUGUCUGUGGUACUUUGUUACAGCUGCCAGUGGACAGUGUCCACUCACCCCAGGGGUGCUCCCAGUCUCACAAGGCAAAUCAGGGCUGUACCAGAGAGGGCUGGGCAGCAGGGAUUAGAGGCAAGGCAGCCAGAGCUGGGCUUCCUGCUUGGGAAACAGGCUCGUUGGAGGGGAAGUUGGAGCCGCUUAGUGGAGAAGGGAGAGAAGGAUGCUUUGGAAAAGGGACUGGUAGCUGUGGACACCAGGAUGGGGGCCUGGCGGGUACUCCAGCCACAGAAGAGUCACAGGAUCGGCGCUGGGGAUGAUCGAGUGGAAAGGAGAGAUGGCAAACUUGGCCUUGAAACCCAUGCUGGCCUUUCUUCAUAUCACUAUUUACAAAAGCCAGAAUGGUAAUUUGAAAAAUUGCCUAGGAUUUCACCAUAAGCCAAGACGGUUAAAUUCAAAAUUGUAUCUAUGCCCUGACCACAACCACAAAUUUCAUGUAUAUAAUGCAUGCAUAAUUUAUAUAUACAGAGAUAUUAAACCAUCAGAAAAUUAUGGGAUAGACUUAGGAAUUUUUUCUUUCAUUUUUUUAUUGUUCUUGAAGUUGCAACACUUUAAUAAACAAAAGCCCAAAGUGAGAAGUUUUGGGUUAAUA
RNAcentral lists this long non-coding RNA (2003 nucleotides) under Sus scrofa (pig). RNAcentral describes it as "lncRNA (ENSSSCG00005012689.1)". The record is from RNAcentral. Lineage: Eukaryota; Metazoa; Chordata; Mammalia; Artiodactyla; Suidae.